Molecule: ribosomal RNA, 328 nt
Filed under: Ventrisudis sp. MZSP 73074
Lineage: Eukaryota; Metazoa; Arthropoda; Arachnida; Opiliones; Cranaidae
Description: partial small subunit ribosomal RNA
Source: RNAcentral
CCCUAGUAUGAAAAUUAGAUAUAAUUAGUAUAUAAUGAAAUUUAAUAAUUUUGGCGGUUGGUUAUUAAUUAGAGGAGCUUGUUAUGUGAUAGAAAUUACUCUUUAAAUUUUUCUUGUAUGAGGUUUAUUCAUCUCCGUUAUUAGGUAAUUUAGUUUGUUAAGAAAGAUUAAUUUUUAAUUCUGUAUUUCAGGUCAAGAUGUAGCAUAUAUAAGUGUUGAUUAGCUACAUUUUUAAAAAAAAUGGAUUUUGUAAUAGAAGUUAGAAUUGAAAUUGAAUUUAAUUGUAAUGUUAAUUAGGAUAUUGGUAUGAAUGGUAAUGGUUAAUGUA